AUCACCAACACAACAUUGCUUGCUCAAUACAAAGAGAGCGCGGAUUCAUAAAGGCGCACGGUGAUUUGUAUUUAUUUCUACCACCACUGGAGCGGUCCAAGGUGCUGAAACAUGAAUCAAAGUGCGGGAGUAGCCCAAACUGUUCGUCGUUACUCUUCUGAUGAUAAGGGCUCAUCUACAAAAGAGACCGUGGUCUCAGCAUGACUCCCUGCUUAAAUCAAGCUGGAAUGGAAUGGCUGUGUCCUUUAUAUCUGACGGAUAUGUGGUUGUCCCACCUAGCUGUCUUAAGGUGAAUGUACUUACUGUAAGUCACUCUGGAUAAGACCAUCUGCUAAGUGACUAAAAUGUCAAAUGUAAAUGUUUUAUAUACAGAUCUGAUAUUGCUGUAUAGAUUUUUAUUUCACAAAUGUUUCAUUUGUACAGUUCUUAAGUAAAAAUGUUAUUUGUUACAUUUAACUGUGUACAACCAAGCAGUACUACUUAUUUCUCUGAGGCGGAUAUAUAGUAUUUUGCAAAAAAAAUAUUGUUUUCAUUUCAGAGACAAAUAAUCAAGCAAUAUAUUUAAAAGAAUACAUGUCUGUCAUUGAACAACCCCAUGUCAUGAUUAGAUAGUAAAAAAA
This 620-nucleotide long non-coding RNA is filed under the name Salmo salar (Atlantic salmon). Its description in RNAcentral is "lncRNA (ENSSSAG00000104280.1)". The record is from RNAcentral. Lineage: Eukaryota; Metazoa; Chordata; Actinopteri; Salmoniformes; Salmonidae.